This 253-nucleotide ribosomal RNA is filed under the name uncultured bacterium. RNAcentral's name for it is "partial 16S ribosomal RNA". It matches the Rfam family "Bacterial small subunit ribosomal RNA", at positions 524 to 776 of the family's 1533-position model. The record is from RNAcentral.
UACGAAGGGGGCGAGCGUUGUUCGGAAUUACUGGGCGUAAAGGGCGCGCAGGCGGCCUUUCAAGUCAGAUGUGAAAGCCCCGGGCUCAACCUGGGAAUGGCAUUUGGGACUGGAAGGCUCGAGAUCGGGAGAGGAGGGUGGAAUUCCCAGUGUAGAGGUGAAAUGCGUAGAUAUUGGGAGGAACACCAGUGGCGAAGGCGGCUCACUGGACCGGUACUGACGCUGAUGCGCGAAAGCGUGGGGAGCAAACGGG